Long non-coding RNA from Telopea speciosissima, 200 nucleotides. RefSeq lists it as uncharacterized. The transcript has 2 exons. NCBI's taxonomy places the organism in Eukaryota, Viridiplantae, Streptophyta, Magnoliopsida, Proteales, Proteaceae. The record is from RefSeq and is a predicted model, not a curated record.
UAUGAAAGAAAUAAAUAGGAAACUCUAUCCAUAAUAAGAAUAAUGUCCCUUAUAACUAAGAGUCUACCUUAACUAGUUAGAAUAGGUGUCCCACAUAAUUAAAACUCUAUCCAAAGUAGGAAUAGGAAAUCUAUUAAGGGAAGACUCAAUCCUAUCCUUAACAACCAAGAAAAUCACAAGUACUUGAUGAAAUAAACAAC